AGGGAAUCUUCCACAAUGGACGAAAGUCUGAUGGAGCAACGCCGCGUGAGUGAAGAAGGUUUUCGGAUCGUAAAGCUCUGUUGUUGGUGAAGAAGGAUAGAGGCAGUAACUGGUCUUUAUUUGACGGUAAUCAACCAGAAAGUCACGGCUAACUACGUGCCAGCAGCCGCGGUAAUACGUAGGUGGCAAGCGUUGUCCGGAUUUAUUGGGCGUAAAGCGAGCGCAGGCGGAAUGAUAAGUCUGAUGUGAAAGCCCACGGCUCAACCGUGGAACUGCAUCGGAAACUGUCAUUCUUGAGUGCAGAAGAGGAGAGUGGAACUCCAUGUGUAGCGGUGGAAUGCGUAGAUAUAUGGAAGAACACCAGUGGCGAAGGCGGCUCUCUGGUCUGCAACUGACGCUGAGGCUCGAAAGCAUGGGUAGCGAACAGGAUUAGAUACCCUGGUAGUCCAUGCCGUAAACGAUGAGCGCUAGGUGUUGGGGACUUUCCGGUCCUCAGUGCCGCAGCAAACGCAUUAAGCGCUCCGCCUGGGGAGUACGACCGCAAGGUUGAAACG
RNAcentral lists this ribosomal RNA (554 nucleotides) under uncultured bacterium. Its description in RNAcentral is "partial 16S ribosomal RNA". It matches the Rfam family "Bacterial small subunit ribosomal RNA", at positions 356 to 901 of the family's 1533-position model. The record is from RNAcentral.